Molecule: transfer RNA, 64 nt
Filed under: Cyllorhynchites ursulus
Lineage: Eukaryota; Metazoa; Arthropoda; Insecta; Coleoptera; Attelabidae
Description: tRNA-His
Source: RNAcentral
AUUUAAAUAGUUUAAUAAAAAUUCUGAUUUGUGGGGUCAAGGAUGUGAGGAAUCACUUUAAAUA